UACGGGGGGAGCAAGCGUUGUUCGGAUUUACUGGGCGUAAAGGGCUCGUAGGCGGCCGGCUAAGUCCGACGUGAAAUCCCCAGGCUUAACCUGGGAACUGCGUCGGAUACUGGCGGGCUUGAAUCCGGGAGAGGGAUGCGGAAUUCCAGGUGUAGCGGUGAAAUGCGUAGAUAUCUGGAGGAACACCGGUGGCGAAGGCGGCAUCCUGGACCGGCAUUGACGCUGAAUAGCGAAAGCCAGGGGAGCAAAACGGGG
This 255-nucleotide ribosomal RNA is filed under the name uncultured bacterium. RNAcentral's name for it is "partial 16S ribosomal RNA". It matches the Rfam family "Bacterial small subunit ribosomal RNA", at positions 524 to 778 of the family's 1533-position model. The record is from RNAcentral.